Molecule: ribosomal RNA, 410 nt
Filed under: uncultured bacterium
Lineage: Bacteria
Description: bacterial SSU rRNA
Rfam family: Bacterial small subunit ribosomal RNA
Source: RNAcentral
AAUGGGCGCAAGCCUGAUCCAGCAAUGCCGCGUGUGUGAAGAAGGCCUGCGGGUUGUAAAGCACUUUCAGUGGGGAAGAACGGAUGCGGGCCAAUACCCCGGAUCGCUGACGUUACCCACAGAAGAAGCACCGGCUAACUCCGUGCCAGCAGCCGCGGUAAUACGUAGGGUGCGAGCGUUAAUCGGAAUUACUGGGCGUAAAGCGUGCGCAGGCGGCUACAUAAGACAGGUGUGAAAUCCCCGGGCUCAACCUGGGAAUGGCGCUUGUGACUGUGUGGCUUGAGUUCGGCAGAGGGGGGUGGAAUUCCACGUGUAGCAGUGAAAUGCGUAGAGAUGUGGAGGAACACCGAUGGCGAAGGCAGCCCCCUGGGCCGCGACUGACGCUCAUGCACGAAAGCGUGGGUAGCAAA